GGGGUUGUCGGAUCCCUUGAGCCUGUGGGUUCUGGGCUGCAGUGGGGCUAUGCCGAUUGGGUGUCCGCACUAAGUUCAGCAUCAGUAUGGUAAGCCCCAGGGAGCAGGGGGCCACCAGGUUGCCUAAGGAGGGGAGAACCGGCUCAGGUUGGAAACAGAGCAGGUCAAAGCUCCCGUACUGAUCAGUAGUAGGAUCGCACCUGUGAGUAGCCCCUGUACCCCAGCCAGGGCAAAAUGGGGGACCCAGUCUC
This is an unclassified non-coding RNA of Sarcophilus harrisii (Tasmanian devil), 251 nucleotides long. It matches the Rfam family "Metazoan signal recognition particle RNA". Rfam says of the family: The signal recognition particle (SRP) is a universally conserved ribonucleoprotein. It is involved in the co-translational targeting of proteins to membranes. The eukaryotic SRP consists of a 300-nucleotide 7S RNA and six proteins: SRPs 72, 68, 54, 19, 14, and 9. The record is from Ensembl. Lineage: Eukaryota; Metazoa; Chordata; Mammalia; Dasyuromorphia; Dasyuridae.